Molecule: long non-coding RNA, 226 nt
Filed under: Capsicum annuum
Lineage: Eukaryota; Viridiplantae; Streptophyta; Magnoliopsida; Solanales; Solanaceae
Description: long non-coding RNA (CANN_LNC021820)
Source: RNAcentral
CCAAUACGUAGCAAAUUACGGCAUUCCCCCAAUACUCUACUUCAAAUUGAAUAUCCUCCAAUUCAAUUUCCACCAUAUUUUGUCUCCCCUUCUUGAUAGGAGAAAUAUACUCCAGCGUAUACCCUGCAUUUGAGAGUCUUGCAAUAUCAAAAUCCUCCCAAAUCUAUUUUUUGUUUCUUCUCUGAUGCUUCUUCUUCUUCUACCUCAUCAGCCCAAGAUUUUUUCC